RNAcentral lists this unclassified non-coding RNA (1831 nucleotides) under Hevea brasiliensis (rubber tree). Lineage: Eukaryota; Viridiplantae; Streptophyta; Magnoliopsida; Malpighiales; Euphorbiaceae. The record is from RNAcentral.
CUUAGACAAAAACUCAGUAUUUUAUGUUUUGAGCUAAUAAGAUAAAAACACAGUAAUUCACAACAGCACAUACUUCCUCUCUAAUCUAUUAACCCCUUGAAAAAAUAAGCCGAAAUGCAACCGAGUAACGCACAGACAAUAAUCGAAGAACAAUAUGUAAGAAAUUGCAGAAUACAUAUCAAAACAAUAAUAUAUUUUCUGGGAACUUCACCAUGUUUGAACAACAUCUUAAUAUAAUUCAUACUACAAUGACUUAACAUUUGAAUCCUCACUACAUGCCUACAGAAAUAAAGAAAAUAUCUUGAGAUGGCCAUUUUACAUUUUAACUAACAAUAACACUCUCCCAAUACUACUAAGCCCAUGCUUUCUCAAGCAAUCUACAAAAUUGCCUCAUAAAAACAAACUUUAUAGGAACUUAGCCCAGCUGGUAACACCCUAUUUUAUGUACUAUUAUGUUCUCACACAUUUACAAUAAAUAAAAUGAUAGGAAGUAAACAGCCUACAGUAUUAUAUACUUCACACUUACAAAAAUUUUGUCACCCACUUCUUCCACAGAAUUCCUACUUUGCCAAAAUCUGCCUUGGGUUGCUGGUCAACAUGAAUUCAUUGUGUUGACCUACCUCAAAACAGUCUCUUAUAGAAGUGACCAUUAGUAUGCAAAAUUCAUCUUCUUCCGACCCCUUCCGUUCCAUCCACGAUCCAUCUGAUAGUCAUUCCCUCGAAACCUGGAGGUUUUGUACCUUGACAUGUACAAGCCAGUACCCUCUCUCUUCCUGUUAUUCCCAUCCCAUGUUUCCCAAUCUCCACCAGUUGUAUCAUUGAAAUUAUUCCAUUGGUUAUAAUUAUUGUCCCACUCGUUGUAAUUAUUCUUGCAUCCAUAGGAAUCAUUCCAAUGAUUUCCCCAUUCAUUAUCUAUCACAGAUCCAUUAGCUUGAGGAACAUUGCUCUCCCACGGAUUUCCAUCAUUAACCUUUUGAUCACAAUGUUUGUAUCCAGGAUCCAAAACUGCAGGGGCUGCCUUUUGCAACUCCUCUUCAGCCUCCCCCCAUCCGGUGCACAAAAAUGACUGGUUCAGGGGGAGAGAACUACCAAAAAUCACAACCUCCUCUCCUUUAUCUUUCUCAUCAGGAUUCUUGGGCUCCCGUUCCAAAUCUAAAUACAAUUCGGGGUCAAUAUUGGAAUUCCAGUCAAUUUCAUCGAUAUAAACAUCAGGAUCAGGCAAUGAUAUGUCACAAGGAAGACCAUUAAUCUUCGCCCAAAAUCGGUUUUUAGCAUUGUGAAAUGCCUCUUCACCAGCAGAGUCAUUCCACUGAACUACAUUCUCAUAGAGGUACAUAAAUUUUUUGGUUUCCAAUAGCUUGGGCCAUGGAACCAAACCAACUGAAUAGCAGAAUUUUUUCUCCCAUGAUGGCACAGUUGGCUGCCAACUACCAUGCGGAGGCUUUCUAUGGUUUGAUCUUGUCGUCCCCUGAACUUCUUGAUGAUGAAUUUCACCUUUAUGUCUCCUCCUGUUAUUCAUAAUCAAAUCUGAAAGGGCAAAACGCACACUCAAAAAACAAAACAAAAGAUCCUCUAAAAAACCAAAGAUCAAACAGACAGAAACUGGGAUUAAAACCAAGAAAGAAACAAUGCACGAAGUAACAAUUCUCAAGGUUCUGCAAACAAAAAAGAAGAAAAAGAAAAAAGGGUACGAACAAUUUUGUGAAGAAAGACUUGAUCUACGAAGAAAUCCAGUAAAGAUUUGGCCAAAGAAUUGCAGGGAAUAGAGGAGCUUCGUUAGGGUGAUCACAAGGUAAAAGCUUUUUGCUACGGGUAUUUUGCGGGUGUUGGA